GGGCGCAUGGUCUAGUGGUAUGAUUCUUCUUUAGGGCUGGUCGUUUGACCGAAGAUCCAUAGAAGAGGUCCUGGGUUCAAUUCCCAGUGCGCCCC
RNAcentral lists this transfer RNA (95 nucleotides) under Malassezia sympodialis ATCC 42132. It matches the Rfam family "tRNA". Rfam says of the family: Transfer RNA (tRNA) molecules are approximately 80 nucleotides in length. Their secondary structure includes four short double-helical elements and three loops (D, anti-codon, and T loops). Lineage: Eukaryota; Fungi; Basidiomycota; Malasseziomycetes; Malasseziales; Malasseziaceae. The record is from Rfam by way of RNAcentral.